AAUGGGCGAAAGCCUGAUGCAGCCAUGCCGCGUGUAUGAAGAAGGCCUUCGGGUUGUAAAGUACUUUCAGUUGUGAGGAAGGGGGUAACGUUAAUAGCGUUAUCUCUUGACGUUAGCAACAGAAGAAGCACCGGCUAACUCCGUGCCAGCAGCCGCGGUAAUACGGAGGGUGCGAGCGUUAAUCGGAAUUACUGGGCGUAAAGCGCAUGCAGGUGGUUCAUUAAGUCAGAUGUGAAAGCCCGGGGCUCAACCUCGGAACUGCAUUUGAAACUGGUGAACUAGAGUGCUGUAGAGGGGGGUAGAAUUUCAGGUGUAGCGGUGAAAUGCGUAGAGAUCUGAAGGAAUACCAGUGGCGAAGGCGGCCCCCUGGACAGACACUGACACUCAGAUGCGAAAGCGUGGGGAGCAAACAGGAUUAGAUACCCUGGUAGUCCACGCCGUAAACGAUGUCUACUUGGAGGUUGUGGCCUUGAGCCGUGGCUUUCGGAGCUAACGCGUUAAGUAGACCGCCUGGGGAGUACGGUCGCAAGAUUAAAACUCAAAUGAAUUGACGGGGGCCCGCACAAGCGGUGGAGCAUGUGGUUUAAUUCGAUGCAACGCGAAGAACCUUACCUACUCUUGACAUCCAGAGAAGCCAGCGGAGACGCAGGUGUGCCUUCGGGAACUCUGAGACAGGUGCUGCAUGGCUGUCGUCAGCUCGUGUUGUGAAAUGUU
RNAcentral lists this ribosomal RNA (714 nucleotides) under Vibrio splendidus. RNAcentral describes it as "bacterial SSU rRNA". It matches the Rfam family "Bacterial small subunit ribosomal RNA", at positions 370 to 1076 of the family's 1533-position model. Lineage: Bacteria; Pseudomonadati; Pseudomonadota; Gammaproteobacteria; Vibrionales; Vibrionaceae. The record is from RNAcentral.